UCUCCGCCUACUCUCCUCCAUGGCCAAAUCCAAACCCUAACGCUACCGUUCUCUCUUUGCAGGAAGCUGCUGAAGGACUCGAAUCACAGUCACAAUCCCAAUCUUACGACUCUCUUUCUUCAAUUAUGCCUCAAGAUCAUCUUACAGAACAGCUUUCGCCUGUCAGUCCUAACCCCAAUUACCAUGCUCCUGCAUCUUCAUCUCCGGACUCCACCUCGCCUCCCGUGCCAGUUUCUCUACUUCACCUUUCAUUCAACCAGGAUUUUGGCUGUUUCUCCACGGGUACUGACCACGGGUUUCGCAUCUACAACUGCGACCCGUUUCGGGAGAUCUUCCGCCGGGAUUUCGAGCGCGGUGGCGGUGGGAUUGGAGUCGUUGAGAUGCUUUUCCGUUGUAAUAUUUUGGCCCUUGUUGGCGGUGGGUCCAACCCUCAGUAUCCUCCUAACAAGGUCAUGAUCUGGGACGACCAUCAGAGCCGAUGCAUCGGGGAGCUCUCAUUUAGGUCUGAGGUUCGAUCGGUGAAGCUUAGACGGGAUAGAAUUAUUGUGGUCCUGGAGCAGAAGAUUUUUGUGUAUAAUUUCGCGGAUUUGAAGCUGUUGCAUCAGAUUGAGACGUUUGCAAAUCCCAAAGGGCUCUGUGCAGUGUCGCACGGGGCGGCUUCAUUGGUGUUUGGUUUGUCCAGGGUUGCAGAAGGGCCAGGUUAGGGUGGAGCAUUACGCAUCGAAAAGGACCAAGUUUAUUAUGGCACAUGAUUCGAGGAUUGCCUGUUUUGCUCUCUCGCAGGAUGGGCAGUUGCUGGCCACUACCAGCACGAAGGGAACCCUGGUUCGGAUUUUCAACACGGCUCUGCUUCAAGAGGUAAGGAGGGGUGCAGAUAGAGCAGAAAUUUAUAGUUUGGCAUUCUCCUCAUCUGCGCAAUGGCUGGCAGUCUCAAGCGACAAGGGCACUGUACAUGUUUUUAGCCUUAAGAUUAAUCCUGG
This 980-nucleotide unclassified non-coding RNA is filed under the name Hevea brasiliensis (rubber tree). Lineage: Eukaryota; Viridiplantae; Streptophyta; Magnoliopsida; Malpighiales; Euphorbiaceae. The record is from RNAcentral.